This 2925-nucleotide ribosomal RNA is filed under the name Enterobacter cloacae. RNAcentral's name for it is "bacterial LSU rRNA". It matches the Rfam family "Bacterial large subunit ribosomal RNA". The record is from RNAcentral. Lineage: Bacteria; Pseudomonadati; Pseudomonadota; Gammaproteobacteria; Enterobacterales; Enterobacteriaceae.
GGGUUGUGAGGUUAAGCGACUAAGCGUACACGGUGGAUGCCCUGGCAGUCAGAGGCGAUGAAGGACGUGCUAAUCUGCGAAAAGCGCCGGCGAGGUGAUAUGAACCCUUGACCCGGCGAUGUCCGAAUGGGGAAACCCAGUGUGAUUCGUCACACUAUCGUUAACUGAAUACAUAGGUUAACGAGGCGAACCGGGGGAACUGAAACAUCUAAGUACCCCGAGGAAAAGAAAUCAACCGAGAUUCCCCCAGUAGCGGCGAGCGAACGGGGAGCAGCCCAGAGUCUGAAUCAGCUUGUGUGUUAGUGGAAGCGUCUGGAAAGUCGCACGGUACAGGGUGAAAGUCCCGUACACGAAAAUGCACAGGCUGUGAACUCGAAGAGUAGGGCGGGACACGUGGUAUCCUGUCUGAAUAUGGGGGGACCAUCCUCCAAGGCUAAAUACUCCUGACUGACCGAUAGUGAACCAGUACCGUGAGGGAAAGGCGAAAAGAACCCCGGCGAGGGGAGUGAAAAAGAACCUGAAACCGUGUACGUACAAGCAGUGGGAGCACCUUCGUGGUGUGACUGCGUACCUUUUGUAUAAUGGGUCAGCGACUUAUAUUCUGUAGCAAGGUUAACCGUAUAGGGGAGCCGAAGGGAAACCGAGUCUUAACUGGGCGUUAAGUUGCAGGGUAUAGACCCGAAACCCGGUGAUCUAGCCAUGGGCAGGUUGAAGGUUGGGUAACACUAACUGGAGGACCGAACCGACUAAUGUUGAAAAAUUAGCGGAUGACCUGUGGCUGGGGGUGAAAGGCCAAUCAAACCGGGAGAUAGCUGGUUCUCCCCGAAAGCUAUUUAGGUAGCGCCUCGUGAACUCAUCUUCGGGGGUAGAGCACUGUUUCGGCUAGGGGGCCAUCCCGGCUUACCAACCCGAUGCAAACUACGAAUACCGAAGAAUGUUAUCACGGGAGACACACGGCGGGUGCUAACGUCCGUCGUGAAGAGGGAAACAACCCAGACCGCCAGCUAAGGUCCCAAAGUCAUGGUUAAGUGGGAAACGAUGUGGGAAGGCCCAGACAGCCAGGAUGUUGGCUUAGAAGCAGCCAUCAUUUAAAGAAAGCGUAAUAGCUCACUGGUCGAGUCGGCCUGCGCGGAAGAUGUAACGGGGCUAAACCAUGCACCGAAGCUGCGGCAGCGACACUCUGUGUUGUUGGGUAGGGGAGCGUUCUGUAAGCCGUUGAAGGUGGCCUGUGAGGGUUGCUGGAGGUAUCAGAAGUGCGAAUGCUGACAUAAGUAACGAUAAAGCGGGUGAAAAGCCCGCUCGCCGGAAGACCAAGGGUUCCUGUCCAACGUUAAUCGGGGCAGGGUGAGUCGACCCCUAAGGCGAGGCCGAAAGGCGUAGUCGAUGGGAAACAGGUUAAUAUUCCUGUACUUGGUGUUACUGCGAAGGGGGGACGGAGAAGGCUAUGUUAGCCGGGCGACGGUUGUCCCGGUUUAAGCAUGUAGGCGGAGGUUCCAGGUAAAUCCGGUACCUUUUAACGCUGAGGUGUGAUGACGAGGCACUACGGUGCUGAAGUAACAAAUGCCCUGCUUCCAGGAAAAGCCUCUAAGCAUCAGGUAACACGAAAUCGUACCCCAAACCGACACAGGUGGUCAGGUAGAGAAUACCAAGGCGCUUGAGAGAACUCGGGUGAAGGAACUAGGCAAAAUGGUGCCGUAACUUCGGGAGAAGGCACGCUGAUAUGUAGGUGAAGCCCCUGCGGGUGGAGCUGAAAUCAGUCGAAGAUACCAGCUGGCUGCAACUGUUUAUUAAAAACACAGCACUGUGCAAACACGAAAGUGGACGUAUACGGUGUGACGCCUGCCCGGUGCCGGAAGGUUAAUUGAUGGGGUUAGCGGUAACGCGAAGCUCUUGAUCGAAGCCCCGGUAAACGGCGGCCGUAACUAUAACGGUCCUAAGGUAGCGAAAUUCCUUGUCGGGUAAGUUCCGACCUGCACGAAUGGCGUAAUGAUGGCCAGGCUGUCUCCACCCGAGACUCAGUGAAAUUGAACUCGCUGUGAAGAUGCAGUGUACCCGCGGCAAGACGGAAAGACCCCGUGAACCUUUACUAUAGCUUGACACUGAACACUGGUCCUUGAUGUGUAGGAUAGGUGGGAGGCUUUGAAGCGUGGACGCCAGUCUGCGUGGAGCCGUCCUUGAAAUACCACCCUUUAAUGGCUGGUGUUCUAACGUAGACCCGUAAUCCGGGUUGCGGACAGUGUCUGGUGGGUAGUUUGACUGGGGCGGUCUCCUCCCAAAGAGUAACGGAGGAGCACGAAGGUUAGCUAAUCCUGGUCGGACAUCAGGAGGUUAGUGCAAUGGCAUAAGCUAGCUUGACUGCGAGAGUGACGGCUCGAGCAGGUGCGAAAGCAGGUCAUAGUGAUCCGGUGGUUCUGAAUGGAAGGGCCAUCGCUCAACGGAUAAAAGGUACUCCGGGGAUAACAGGCUGAUACCGCCCAAGAGUUCAUAUCGACGGCGGUGUUUGGCACCUCGAUGUCGGCUCAUCACAUCCUGGGGCUGAAGUAGGUCCCAAGGGUAUGGCUGUUCGCCAUUUAAAGUGGUACGCGAGCUGGGUUUAGAACGUCGUGAGACAGUUCGGUCCCUAUCUGCCGUGGGCGCUGGAGAAUUGAGGGGGGCUGCUCCUAGUACGAGAGGACCGGAGUGGACGCAUCACUGGUGUUCGGGUUGUCAUGCCAAUGGCACUGCCCGGUAGCUAAAUGCGGAAGAGAUAAGUGCUGAAAGCAUCUAAGCACGAAACUUGCCCCGAGAUGAGUUCUCCCUGAGACUUCAAGUCUCCUGAAGGAACGUUGAAGACGACGACGUUGAUAGGUCGGGUGUGUAAGCGCAGCGAUGCGUUGAGCUAACCGAUACUAAUGAACCGUGAGGCUUAACCUUACAACGCCGAAG